AGAGUUUGAUCAUGGCUCAGGACGAACGCUGGCGGCGUGCUUAACACAUGCAAGUCGAGCGGAAAGGCCCUUCGGGGUACUCGAGCGGCGAACGGGUGAGUAACACGUGAGCAACCUGCCCUUAGCUUUGGGAUAACCCUCGGAAACGGGGGCUAAUACCGAAUGUUCACUUCCUGUCGCAUGGUGGGGGGUGGAAAGUUUUUCGGCUAGGGAUGGGCUCGCGGCCUAUCAGCUUGUUGGUGGGGUGAUGGCCUACCAAGGCGACGACGGGUAGCCGGCCUGAGAGGGCGACCGGCCACACUGGGACUGAGACACGGCCCAGACUCCUACGGGAGGCAGCAGUGGGGAAUAUUGCACAAUGGGCGCAAGCCUGAUGCAGCGACGCCGCGUGAGGGAUGACGGCCUUCGGGUUGUAAACCUCUUUCAGCAGGGACGAAGGGUGACUGACGGUACCUGCAGAAGAAGCGCCGGCCAACUACGUGCCAGCAGCCGCGGUAAGACGUAGGGCGCGAGCGUUGUCCGGAUUUAUUGGGCGUAAAGAGCUCGUAGGCGGCUUGUCGCGUCGACUGUGAAAACCCGUGGCUCAACCAUGUGGUCUGCAGUCGAUACGGGCAGGCUAGAAUUCGGUAGGGGAGACUGGAAUUCCUGGUGUAGCGGUGAAAUGCGCAGAUACCAGGAGGAACACCGGUGGCGAAGGCGGGUCUCUGGGCCGAUAUUGACGCUGAGGAGCGAAAGCGUGGGGAGCGAACAGGAUUAGAUACCCUAGUAGUCC
Molecule: ribosomal RNA, 772 nt
Filed under: uncultured bacterium
Lineage: Bacteria
Description: bacterial SSU rRNA
Rfam family: Bacterial small subunit ribosomal RNA
Source: RNAcentral